This 922-nucleotide ribosomal RNA is filed under the name uncultured bacterium. RNAcentral's name for it is "bacterial SSU rRNA". It matches the Rfam family "Bacterial small subunit ribosomal RNA", at positions 8 to 916 of the family's 1533-position model. The record is from RNAcentral.
AGAGUUUGAUCAUGGCUCAGGACGAACGCUGGCGGCGUGCCUAAUACAUGCAAGUAGAACGCUGAAGAAAGGAGCUUGCUUCUUUUGGAUGAGUUGCGAACGGGUGAGUAACGCGUAGGUAACCCGCCUUGUAGCGGGGGAUAACUAUUGGAAACGAUAGCUAAUACCGCAUAACAGCUUUUGACACAUGUUAGAAGCUUGAAAGAUGCAAUUGUAUCACUACGAGAUGGACCUGCGUUGUAUUAGCUAGUAGGUAGGGUAACGGCCUACCUAGGCGACGAUACAUAGCCGACCUGAGAGGGUGAUCGGCCACACUGGGACUGAGACACGGCCCAGACUCCUACGGGAGGCAGCAGUAGGGAAUCUUCGGCAAUGGGGCAACCCUGACCGAGCAACGCCGCGUGAGUGAAGAAGGUUUUCGGAUCGUAAAGCUCUGUUGUAAGAGAAGAACGUGUGUGAGAGUGGAAAGUUCACACAGUGACGGUAACUUACCAGAAAGGGACGGCUAACUACGUGCCAGCAGCCGCGGUAAUACGUAGGUCCCGAGCGUUGUCCGGAUUUAUUGGGCGUAAAGCGAGCGCAGGCGGUUUAAUAAGUCUGAAGUUAAAGGCAGUGGCUUAACCAUUGUUCGCUUUGGAAACUGUUAAACUUGAGUGCAGAAGGGGAGAGUGGAAUUCCAUGUGUAGCGGUGAAAUGCGUAGAUAUAUGGAGGAACACCGGUGGCGAAAGCGGCUCUCUGGUCUGUAACUGACGCUGAGGCUCGAAAGCGUGGGGAGCAAACAGGAUUAGAUACCCUGAUAGUCUACGCCGUAAACGAUGAGUGCUAGGUGUUAGGCCCUUUCCCGGGCUUAGUGCCGCAGCUAACGCAUUAGCACUCCGCCUGGGGAGUACGACCGCAGGUGAAACUCAAAGGAAUUGACGG